CAGGUGCAUGCCUCUAGCAUGAAGUCAGACAAGU
Molecule: ribosomal RNA, 34 nt
Filed under: Symbiodinium sp. PtMiI1
Lineage: Eukaryota; Dinophyceae; Suessiales; Symbiodiniaceae
Description: partial 28S ribosomal RNA
Source: RNAcentral